GACGUAGGGCGCGAGCGUUGUCCGGAUUUAUUGGGCGUAAAGAGCUCGUAGGCGGCUUGUCGCGUCGAAUGUGAAAACCCACGGCUCAACUGUGGGCUUGCAUUCGAUACGGGCAGGCUAGAGUUCGGUAGGGGAGACUUGAAUUCCUGGUGUAGCGGUGAAAUGCGCAGAUAUCAGGAGGAACACCGGUGGCGAAGGCGGGUCUCUGGGCCGAUACUGACGCUGAGGAGCGAAAGCGUGGGGAGCGAACAGG
This 253-nucleotide ribosomal RNA is filed under the name uncultured bacterium. RNAcentral's name for it is "partial 16S ribosomal RNA". It matches the Rfam family "Bacterial small subunit ribosomal RNA", at positions 524 to 776 of the family's 1533-position model. The record is from RNAcentral.